Molecule: ribosomal RNA, 494 nt
Filed under: uncultured bacterium
Lineage: Bacteria
Description: partial 16S ribosomal RNA
Rfam family: Bacterial small subunit ribosomal RNA
Source: RNAcentral
GACGAACGCUGGCGGCGUGCUUAACACAUGCAAGUCGAACGGUGAAGCGCCGUCCUUGUUGGUGGGAGGGGAGGAGUGGCGAAGGGAGGAGUAACACGUGAGUAACCUGACCCCACCUGCUGGAUAACCGCAAGAAAGUGUUGCUAAUACGGGAUAUUUUGGGUCGGUCGCAUGAUGGGUCUGGGAAGGAUUUGGUGUCGGUUGGGGAUGGGCUCGCGGCUUAUCAGCUUGUUGGUGUGGUGAUGGCCUACCAAGGCGGUGACGGGUAGCCGGCCUGAGAGGGUCGACGGUCCCACUGGUGCUGCGCCACCCACCCGCCUCCUGCGGGCGGCAGCAGUGGAGAUUCCUGCACGGUGGGCGCCCGGCUGGUGCAGCGCCGCGGCGUUGGGGAUGGUCUCCUUAGGGUUGUGCUCCUCUUUCGCCAGUGAAGCAGUCCUUAAUUGUUUGUGCGCGUCUUGACGGUACCUGGACAGGAAGCGCCGGCUAACUACGUG